RNAcentral lists this ribosomal RNA (390 nucleotides) under Shigella flexneri. Its description in RNAcentral is "bacterial SSU rRNA". It matches the Rfam family "Bacterial small subunit ribosomal RNA", at positions 63 to 449 of the family's 1533-position model. The record is from RNAcentral. Lineage: Bacteria; Pseudomonadati; Pseudomonadota; Gammaproteobacteria; Enterobacterales; Enterobacteriaceae.
CGAACGGUAACAGGAAGCAGCUUGCUGUUUCGCUGACGAGUGGCGGACGGGUGAGUAAUGUCUGGGAAACUGCCUGAUGGAGGGGGAUAACUACUGGAAACGGUAGCUAAUACCGCAUAACGUCGCAAGACCAAAGAGGGGGACCUUCGGGCCUCUUGCCAUCGGAUGUGCCCAGAUGGGAUUAGCUAGUAGGUGGGGUAACGGCUCACCUAGGCGACGAUCCCUAGCUGGUCUGAGAGGAUGACCAGCCACACUGGAACUGAGACACGGUCCAGACUCCUACGGGAGGCAGCAGUGGGGAAUAUUGCACAAUGGGCGCAAGCCUGAUGCAGCCAUGCCGCGUGUAUGAAGAAGGCCUUCGGGUUGUAAAGUACUUUCAGCGGGGAGGAA